This 468-nucleotide ribosomal RNA is filed under the name uncultured bacterium. Its description in RNAcentral is "partial 16S ribosomal RNA". It matches the Rfam family "Bacterial small subunit ribosomal RNA", at positions 28 to 507 of the family's 1533-position model. The record is from RNAcentral.
GACGAACGCUGGCGGCGUGCUUAACACAUGCAAGUCGAACGGAAAGGCCCUGCUUUUGUGGGGUGCUCGAGUGGCGAACGGGUGAGUAACACGUGAGUAACCUGCCCUUGACUUUGGGAUAACUUCAGGAAACUGGGGCUAAUACCGGAUAGGAGCUCCUGCUGCAUGGUGGGGGUUGGAAAGUUUCGGCGGUUGGGGAUGGACUCGCGGCUUAUCAGCUUGUUGGUGGGGUAGUGGCUUACCAAGGCUUUGACGGGUAGCCGGCCUGAGAGGGUGACCGGCCACAUUGGGACUGAGGUACGGCCCAGAAUCCUACGGGAGGCAACAGUGGGGAAUAUUGCACAAUGGGGGGAAGCCUGAUGCAGCAACCCCCCGUGCGGGAAGACCGCCUUUGGGGUGUAAACCGCUUUCGCCUGUGACGAAGCCGGAGUGACGGUAAUGGGUAAAGAAGCCCCGGCUAACUACGUG